GUUGGUUUCUAGGACCGCCGUAAUGAUUAAUAGGGACAGUUGGGGGCAUCAGUAUUCCGCAGUUAGAGGUGAAAUUCUUGGAUCUGCGAAAGACUAACUGCUGCGAAAGCGUUUGUCAAAGAUGUUUUCAUUAAUCAGGAACGAAAGUCGGGGGAUCGAAGACGAUCAGAUACCGUCGUAGUCUUGACCAUAAACUAUGCCGACUAGGGAUCGGGCGAUGUUAUAUUUUGACUCGCUCGGCACCUUACGAGAAAUCAAAGUGCUUGGGCUCCAGGGGGAGUAUGGUCGCAAGGCUGAAACUUGAAGAAAUUGACGGAAGGGCACCACCAGGGGUGGAGCCUGCGGCUUAAUUUGACUCAACACGGGGAAACUCACCAGGUCCAGACACAAUGAGGAUUGACAGAUUGAGAGCUCUUUCUUGAUUUUGUGGGUGGUGGCGCAUGGCCGUUCUUAGUUGGUGGAGUGAUUUGUCAGAUUAAUUUCGAUAACGAACGAGACCUUCACUGUUAACUAGCCCGCAUUGCUUUGGCAGUGCGCUGGCUUCUUAGCGGGACUAUUGGCGCGAGCCAAUGGAAGUUGGAGGCGAUAACAGGUCUGUGAUGCCCUUAGAUGUUCUGGGCCGCACGCGCGCUACACUGACGGAGCCAGCGAGUACUUCCUUAACCGACAGGUUUGGGUAAUCUUGUUAAACUCCGUCGUGCUGGGGAUAGGGCAUUGCAAUAAUCGAAUUCCCGCGGCCUGUACAUAGCGGCCAGCGAGACUUAAGAUCACAUGAUACUUAG
Molecule: ribosomal RNA, 782 nt
Filed under: uncultured fungus
Lineage: Eukaryota; Fungi
Description: bacterial SSU rRNA
Rfam family: Eukaryotic small subunit ribosomal RNA
Source: RNAcentral